UACAGAGGUCUCAAGCGUUGUUCGGAUUCAUUGGGCGUAAAGGGUGCGUAGGUGGCCUAAUGAGUUUGAUGUGAAAGCUCAGGGCUUAACCCUGAAAUGGCAUUGAAUACUGUUGGGCUGGAGGUUUGGAGGGGGGACUGGAAUUCUUGGUGUAGCAGUGAAAUGCGUAGAUAUCAAGAGGAACACCAGUGGCGAAGGCGAGUCCCUGGACAACACCUGACACUGAGGCACGAAAGCUAGGGGAGCAAACAGG
RNAcentral lists this ribosomal RNA (253 nucleotides) under uncultured bacterium. Its description in RNAcentral is "partial 16S ribosomal RNA". It matches the Rfam family "Bacterial small subunit ribosomal RNA", at positions 524 to 776 of the family's 1533-position model. The record is from RNAcentral.